Molecule: non-coding RNA, 200 nt
Organism: Brassica napus (rape)
Lineage: Eukaryota; Viridiplantae; Streptophyta; Magnoliopsida; Brassicales; Brassicaceae
Source: Rfam
UAGAUAUAGAAGGAGAUUCUUUCAGUCCAGUCAUGGAUAGAACAAGAAGAGGGUAGAAACAUCUGCCGACUCAUCCAUCCAAACACUUCUGGUAAAAGAAAAGAGAUUUUAUACCACAGUGGCUGUGUGAAUGAUGCGGGAGAUGUUUUCAUCUCUCUUUAUCUGUGUUUGGACUGAAGGGAGCUCCUUCUUAAUUUACA